This 481-nucleotide ribosomal RNA is filed under the name Phaeosphaeria sp. Its description in RNAcentral is "eukaryotic LSU rRNA". The stretch from base 101 to 254 matches the Rfam family "5.8S ribosomal RNA". Lineage: Eukaryota; Fungi; Ascomycota; Dothideomycetes; Pleosporales; Phaeosphaeriaceae. The record is from RNAcentral.
UUUUGCGUACCUAUGUUUCCUCGGCAGGCUUGCCUGCCGGCUGGACAAUUCUAUAACCUUUUUAAUUUUUAAUCAGCGUCUGAAAAAACUUAAUAAUUACAACUUUCAACAACGGAUCUCUUGGUUCUGGCAUCGAUGAAGAACGCAGCGAAAUGCGAUAAGUAGUGUGAAUUGCAGAAUUCAGUGAAUCAUCGAAUCUUUGAACGCACAUUGCGCCCCUUGGUAUUCCAUGGGGCAUGCCUGUUCGAGCGUCAUUUGUACCUUCAAGCUUUGCUUGGUGUUGGGUGUUUGUCCUCUCCUUGGUGUUUGGACUCGCCUUAAAACAAUUGGCAGCCAGUGUUUUGGUAUUGAAGCGCAGCACAAGUCGCGAUUCUGACCUAGUAACACUUGCAUCCACAAGUCUUUUUAACUUUUGACCUCGGAUCAGGUAGGGAUACCCGCUGAACUUAAGCAUAUCAAUAGGCGAAGGAAGAUUCCGCAG